This 160-nucleotide ribosomal RNA is filed under the name uncultured bacterium. RNAcentral's name for it is "partial 16S ribosomal RNA". It matches the Rfam family "Bacterial small subunit ribosomal RNA", at positions 355 to 508 of the family's 1533-position model. The record is from RNAcentral.
UGGGGAAUCUUGCGCAAUGGGCGAAAGCCUGACGCAGCGACGCCGCGUGCGGGAAGAAGGCCUUAGGGUUGUAAACCGCUUUCAGGAGGGACGAAGCCACUCGGGUGAAUAGCCCAGAGGGUGACGGUACCUCCAGAAGAAGCCCCGGCUAACUACGUGC